Molecule: long non-coding RNA, 647 nt
Organism: Panicum virgatum (switchgrass)
Lineage: Eukaryota; Viridiplantae; Streptophyta; Magnoliopsida; Poales; Poaceae
Exons: 2
Source: RefSeq, a predicted model, not a curated record
CCUGCGGGUAAAAGGACCCGGCGGCUCGUCGCACCAUCACGCAGAACCAUUCGCAUCAGAUCGCUAGGGUUUAAGCGCCUCGCCGCCUCCAGAGCUCGCACCCCUAGCCGCCGGCCGGAUUCGGAGAAGAGAAGCGAAUCAAGAUGUUCCUCGGCUCGAUCCCGCGGCGCCCGAGCAAGGAGGCGGCGUACAAGCAGCUGCGGUCGCACCUCGCCGUCAUGGCCGCCUGCGUCGCCGUCAUCCGCGCCACCCCCUACAUCCUCCACUUCCUCACCCGCGAAGGCGACGUCCAGGAGCUCAAGCUCGAGCUCUAGAGCCUCCCGUCCCCAUGCCGCCCCCGCCCCCCCGCCCCCACAAGGUGCUACUGGAAUGGGCCGAUCGUCUCGGCAAAGUUACGUCCAGUGUUGAGCUUCCUAUGUACCAGUCAAAACAUGGAUCCAGUGACCACAGAGUGCUUGCUUAAACUCUUUCUAUAUUAUUCUUCAAAAGUCGGCGACGGUACACGUAGCUACCUGUUAGCUUUGGUGUUUCCUGAGACCGGUAUUCUGUUUUGCGUGGCUGUAUGAUGAUGAUGUAGUCACAUUUCAUCGGGAGUUUCCGGAGGAGCUCGUGACCCACCGUGCUGUGCCCCCUACCUGUUGCCAUCA